This 459-nucleotide ribosomal RNA is filed under the name uncultured bacterium. Its description in RNAcentral is "partial 16S ribosomal RNA". It matches the Rfam family "Bacterial small subunit ribosomal RNA", at positions 338 to 795 of the family's 1533-position model. The record is from RNAcentral.
CCUACGGGUGGCAGCAGUGAGGAAUAUUGGUCAAUGGGCGGGAGCCUGAACCAGCCAAGCCGCGUGAGGGAAGAAGGUACAGCGUAUCGUAAACCUCUUUUGUCAGGGAACAAAGGCGGGGACUAGUCCCCGGAUGAGGGUACCUGAAGAAAAAGCAUCGGCUACCUCCGUGCCAGCAGCCGCGGUAAUACGGAGGAUGCGAGUGUUAUCCGGAUUUAUUGGGUUUAAAGGGUGCGCAGGCGGCCUGUUAAUCCAGCGGGAAAAGCCCGGGGCUCAACCCCGGCGAGCCGUUGAAACUGGGGGGCUGGAGUUGGAGAGAAGUACGCGGAAUGCGCGGUGUAGCGGUGAAAUGCUUAGAUAUCGCGCAGAACCCCGAUUGCGAAGGCAGCGUACCGGCUCCACACUGACGCUGAGGCACGAAAGCGUGGGUAUCGAACAGGAUUAGAUACCCCUGUAGUC